ACGGGUCUCGCGUUUUCCCCAAAGUCCCAAAAUCUCUCUCAUUCUCUCUCCUCUCCCUCUCUCUCUCUUUGGUCUGCCCCAAAUCCCCCAAAAGAUGAAACCCUAAAAAUUAUUUGAUCAAUCUUAAAAUCCCAGAAUCAAUUUUUACACCGAUCCACCAUAUCCGUAAGUUCACUCUCUCAAAAAUUACUUUACCAAUUUCAUUUUUUUUUUCUGAUCGCAAAGUUCGAUCUUUGUUUUUUCGCUUUUCGUUCAAUAUCGAAGAGAAAAUUACUUCUCGAUUCAGAGAUUGUUAUUAUUAUUUUCUCUGAUGGGUAGGUGCUGAUAAAUUUCAAAUUCUUUUCUUUUGCCCCCGAAUUUUGUUUUUUUCGGGGCUUUCUCGGAUUUUUUUAGGGCUUUUUUUUGUUUUGUUUUGGUUCUUGUUUUUUUGAGAGCCUUUGAGAUGGAUGGCAACAAAGACGAUGCUGUGAAAUGCUUGAAAAUUGGGAAAGAAGCUUUGGAAGCUGGGGAUCGUACUCGUGCCCUCAAAUUCAUCUCCAAAGCUCGCCGUCUCGAUCCGACUUUACCCAUCGACGAUCUCUUAUCGGAGAUUCAAAAAGAAUCCAACGGUAAAUCGGCACAGGAUGCUGAUGGGUCCCCCAAUGGACCAUCAUCAGGGUCUUCUCCAUCUAAGCCGUCCGAUCAACCUUCGCUUCGCCAUAGAACUUCGUCAACUGGGCCUUCAUCAUCAUCGGCAGCGACUUUUACGGAGGAGCAGAUUUCCAUUGUGAGGGAGAUUAAGAAGAAGAAGGAUUACUACGAGAUUUUGGGGCUAGAGAAGAGUUGCAGUGUAGAGGAGGUUAGAAAAGCAUAUAGAAAACUCUCUUUGAAGGUUCAUCCCGAUAAGAACAAAGCUCCGGGAGCUGAGGAGGCCUUUAAAGCUGUAUCAAAAGCUUUUCAGUGUCUCAGCAACGAAGAGAGUAGGAAAAAAUAUGAUCUUGUUGGGUCUGAUGAGCCCGUUUACGAGAGACGCGCAGCGAACCGUGGACAUGGGUUCAAUGGGUACUAUGAAGCUGAUAUUGAUGCAGACGAGAUCUUCAGGAAUUUCUUCUUUGGAGGAAUGGCUCCGGCGACCCAGUUCAGAGGUUUCAGUUUCGGAACUGGAAUGGGACCGAUGGGACAGAGGGGAGGUGGUGAUCAUGGUUCUGCUGGGUUCAAUGUUCGGGCAUUGAUUCAGUUGCUUCCAGUGCUGCUUGUUCUGCUUUUGAAUUUUCUGCCGUCUUCGGAUCCCAUAUAUUCAUUUUCUCGAUCUUAUCCUUAUGAGUACAAGUUUUCUACGGAAAAGGGUGUUGAUUACUAUGUCAAAUCGACCAAGUUUGAGCAGGACUACCCACCAGGUAGUAGGGAACGCAUUGUCUUAGAGCAUAAGUUGGAGAGAGAAUAUUUCGGUAUUCUCUCACAGAACUGUAGGAUUGAGAUACAACGUCGUCAGUGGGGAAUUACACGUGAAACACCAUAUUGCGACAUGUUGCAUAAGUUCGAAUCGAGGGCUCACUGACUUAAAUCGAGAAUGCUUGUCUGGUGAUAGUGGCUCAAAAUUCCCUGAUCUGAAGACUGCAGGAGGAAGAAGGAAAUUGCACAAAAAGACGGGAGGAUUAUAAUAGUAGUAAAUUAAAGGAGUGUUUUUUGGUUGAAGGAUGGCAGGUCCUGUUCGAUUCAGUAUAAAUGCUGAAAACUCCAUAUCUUUCGGGAUGGCAGGCCCUGUUCGAUUCAGUAUAUCUUUGUAUAAAGCAUAUAGGAUGUACGUUGUGGGGUUCUCCUGGGUUCUGGAAUAUCAUUUGGUUUGUAUGCAAUUCAAAGUUUGGUUACAUUGUGGUUUACAAAGAAUACAGAGGAUCAUCAAUACAAGGACAGUGAUGAAUCGUAUACAGCUAUUAUGGGUCAGGAAAAUGUCUGUAAAUUUUAAAAGCUGCAUCUCUAAUUCCUUGGGGAAAUAAGUAGCAAUCCCAGUGUCCCAAAGAGUAUGUACUGCAGAGGACAUAAAAAAACGAAGUGAAUGCCAAAACACAUGAGCGUCUGCUGCGAGUGAUAGUUUCAUUUCCAGCAGUGCUGUAGCUCCAAGAAACUUUGUUAUGUUUUUUAGAAUGAAGGAUAAAUACAAAAAACAAAAAAUUUAAGAAACUUA
RNA transcript from Ziziphus jujuba (common jujube), 2164 nucleotides. It is a transcript of the gene named chaperone protein dnaJ 49, with no coding region annotated. The transcript has 3 exons. The record is from RefSeq and is a predicted model, not a curated record. Lineage: Eukaryota; Viridiplantae; Streptophyta; Magnoliopsida; Rosales; Rhamnaceae.